Cyprinus carpio (common carp) is the source of this 695-nucleotide long non-coding RNA. RefSeq lists it as uncharacterized. The record is from RefSeq and is a predicted model, not a curated record. Lineage: Eukaryota; Metazoa; Chordata; Actinopteri; Cypriniformes; Cyprinidae. The transcript is spliced from 3 exons.
AGGAUCUAUGACUUCUGGAAGCACCUCUUUUAGGAGCUUAGAUGGAAUAGGGUCUAACAUACAUGUUGUUGGUUUAGAAUACAUGUUGUUGGUUUAAACCGAGUGUAAUAUCGAUGGUAUGGCCCAUUUCAGGAGCUGACAAAAUUAUGAUUUAAAAUUAGAGCAUAGCUCACACUCACUAAAAUACUGAAAUGCUAAUGUAGUGGGAUUGCCCCUUUAAUAAUAGUCUGCAUGGCCCCUUUAAAAAUGGCGCACUGAUUGCAUAAGGUGGGUGGGUACGUCAGGUAAUCACGAAGCUAUAUAGACACAGGUGAGAUGUAGUUUCCUCAUGACUUUGUAUCGAUGUGACAUGUUUGCGUAGGUCUUGUAUCUCCUUCACUCCUCGGUAAAGAUUAGUCGGUUACGUUCGGGCAUUGCUAGUGAGCAUGUGAGUGUUAUGCACGUCAAAGAAGUUGCUAGCUGCUGCUUUGCUGUGGCUUAAAUGCCGUUUCCAGUUUUGGGACGCAGGAUUUUUGUCCGCACGCGAUUGCACUGAACGUCUUCGCUGUCGCCUGUAUAACAUUCGCGUUGGAUGCGCUGUAAGACCGUGUCCUUUGAUUCUGGUGCCACCUGGUGUUCGCUGGUAACUCCAUCGUGUUUGUUUGUUUUGUGUAUUUUAAAGGGAUAGUUCACCCAAAAAUGAAAAUUAUGUCAUU